This is a long non-coding RNA of Quercus lobata, 691 nucleotides long. RefSeq lists it as uncharacterized. The transcript is spliced from 3 exons. NCBI's taxonomy places the organism in Eukaryota, Viridiplantae, Streptophyta, Magnoliopsida, Fagales, Fagaceae. The record is from RefSeq and is a predicted model, not a curated record.
UUGAUUCUUUUUUAUUUUUUAAAAAGGUACAAUGACAGUUUUGUUUUUCAAAAUUACUGUGCCACAGGUUCCCUCCUGGGGGGAAAGAAGAAACCCUUUCAUUCCACAACAGCCUGCAAGUCUGUUUAAACUUGUUACCAGCUCAUUUACCCUUUCGGAAGAUUUUGCUAUUUCAUGUGAAUGAUUUUUAUGUUAUGGGGAACAUGAUAAGAAGGUUUGCUACUUGGGAUUGACAUCACUUCUGUUGCUUCUAGCUGAGGCUUUGGGGCGUGUUUUCAGGGCAGCGCUUGAUCUCUUAGUUGCUUUCAAAGAUCAAGUUGCAGGGUCCUUUCCGAUUAGUUGCUGAGGAGGGAAAAUCCAAAUGUUCUUGGGUGAGUCUUGAUGACAUCUCAAAUAGUGUUGGUAAAAAGCGAGGGGGGCACUUAAGCGCAGAGGCCUCAUGGAGCCUAGGCGCAAAGCUCAAAGCGUGCUUCUUUGAAUGAACCUAGCUUUUGAGGCAAGAAGCGCUGGAGCCUUGGGGCUUUGCACUUUGAGCUUAAGCACACUUAAAGCGUGCUUUUACCAACACUGAAUCUCAAAUAUCUUUAUACGAGAAAGUUUACUGGCUGUUCAAUGUUGUGAGAGAUUUGGAACAAGUGAAAGACAAUGGGUACAGGCCCAAGUUGAGAAUGCUAAGCAACAAGCUAUUCUA